UGGGUGACUCACAAAGGCUCUUUUCACUGACGUGACCUCAUCAGAUCCUCUCAACAAUAGCAGGGUGGUGGCAUCAGGGCUCCCUUUCUAUGGAUGAGCCUGGAGUUCACAGAGGCUAAGUAAGCAGCCCAAGGUCACCCAGUAUGUUGGCAGCGGAGUCAAAUUCCACUGUCUUUCCACCAUGAAACAUAAAGGCUCCGGAGGAGGUAAGAGCCAGAUCUUGUUAUUGAUGCUUCAAGGUGAAGGAGUGCAUUGAAGUCCCCAAGGAAAUUGGCUGGGAGCAGGUGCUUCGAGCUCCUGAGCCAGAGAAGCCCUGAGACAGGCAUGGGCGGAGGACACUUCACUGUGGACACUCUACCUCACUGGCCUCCAUUUUCUUCCAUUUCAUCAACUCCCCUAACUUUUCCUCCUGAGAAAGCUACAGCCUCUGGGAUAUGGAUGCCCUUCAUUUCCGGAUACCCUACAUGCUCUGGCUCCCCUCCUUCCUCACUCAGGGGCUGUAUUCUAGUGUGCUUCCCCCCUCCCCGCCCCCCCAGCUCAUUCUUUUAAAAAACUAUGACCAAAUAAACAUAGUUAAAUUUGCCUCUGA
Peromyscus californicus insignis is the source of this 589-nucleotide long non-coding RNA. RefSeq lists it as uncharacterized. The transcript has 2 exons. The record is from RefSeq and is a predicted model, not a curated record. Lineage: Eukaryota; Metazoa; Chordata; Mammalia; Rodentia; Cricetidae.